RNAcentral lists this ribosomal RNA (300 nucleotides) under uncultured Eubacterium sp. RNAcentral describes it as "bacterial SSU rRNA". It matches the Rfam family "Bacterial small subunit ribosomal RNA", at positions 496 to 795 of the family's 1533-position model. Lineage: Bacteria; Bacillati; Bacillota; Clostridia; Eubacteriales; Eubacteriaceae. The record is from RNAcentral.
GCGAUCUGCGGGCGGGGAGCGGCGGUAGUACGGGGGGGGCAAGCGGUAACCGGAGUCACUGUGUUUAAAGGGUGCGUAGGUGGAUUGAUAAGUCAGUGGUGAAAGCCCCGAGCUCAACUUGGGAAUUGCCAUUGAUACUGUUAGUCGUGAGUUCGGUUGAGGUAGGCGGAAUAAGUCAUGUAGCGGUGAAAUGCUUAGAUAUGACUUAGAACACCGAUUGCGAAGGCAGCUUACCAAGCCGACACUGACACUGAGGCACGAAAGCGUGGGGAUCAAACAGGAUUAGAUACCCCUGUAGUC